CCUACGGGAGGCAGCAGUGAGGAAUAGUGGUCAAUGGGCGGAAGCCUGAACCAGCCAAGUAGCGUGCAGGAUGACGGCCCUACGGGUUGUAAACUGCGGUUAUACGGGAAUAACGCGCCGUACGUGGAGGGCUUUGCAUGUACCGUAUGAAUAAGGACCGGCUAAUUCCGUGCCAGCAGCCGCGGUAAUACGGAAGGUCCGGGCGUUAUCCGGAUUUAUUGGGGGUAAAGGGAGAGUAGGCCUCAUGUCAAGCGUGCUGUGAAAUGUCCGGGCUCAACCCGGGCCUUGCCGCGCGAACUGGCGUGCUUGAGUCCGCGGCUAGCAGGCGUCAUUCGUCGUGUAGCUGU
This 347-nucleotide ribosomal RNA is filed under the name uncultured bacterium. RNAcentral describes it as "partial 16S ribosomal RNA". It matches the Rfam family "Bacterial small subunit ribosomal RNA", at positions 338 to 682 of the family's 1533-position model. The record is from RNAcentral.